GCUUGGGUUAAUAAUUCUGCCUCAGCCGUCAUAGAAUGCUGUAGAAUGUUCUCCUAUUCUGUUUGUAGCUUUCGUUGCAGAUUAUUGUUUGUGAUCUUAUACCACAGAGAACAGACAUUCAUGUUCAUAUAAAGAAAUUUGAAAAUCGUGUGUAAAAAUUUGAAUCAAAAUACGUUAAUACACUAACGACAUCUGUCUAAUGGUGCCCCAGUUGCACUGCAUAAAUAUUGCUGUAUCGAUAUUUUAUCGAUAUAAGUGCUUGGUUUGUCGCUGCUUCAUUUUAACUCUAAUUUGAUUUGGAUCUACUCAGUUUGGUAUUCUUAUGCAAAAUGUCAAAAAGUGAGUUAUCGGAUACUGGAUAAUUGAGUAACAUUCACCCAAAUUUUCAUAAUUACCAUGUUUACUCAGUUUUGAGUUAUUAUCCAUGAUGUUUACUCACCCCUGAGUAUAUGUAUAUGUCAAAAGUUUUCAACAGCGAUAUUAUCUGUUUCCGAAGAACAAUUGGUGUCGCAUUUUAUUCGUUUGCUAGCACCCAACAUCAUUAUUGCAGAGGAUUUGAAAACAUAAAAAACAUCUCUUCAAAAUGAACAACCGCAUGUUGUGUGUCCUGCGAUGCCGUUUCAAGUCGGGCUUUUAUUCGUGAUAAUGAACGGAAACAUUUGUAUCGAUGUACAGUGCCCAAUACAUGCAAUCGAUACAAUUUAAAUCCUUCGCAGUGUUUGGUGACGGAUGAUGACGGAUUUUCUGGUGUGCGUACUGUACAAAAACAUGAGCCACAGUUCACGGGCAACUGUGAACCGGUUGGUUGCCGCAUUAUAUAAAGACACGUGAAUGAUUGAAAACUUUUAUAAUUUUUCGAUGAAAAAUAAAUCUAUGAUUUUGAUUGUUCUGAA
This is a long non-coding RNA of Wyeomyia smithii (pitcher-plant mosquito), 893 nucleotides long. RefSeq lists it as uncharacterized. The transcript is spliced from 2 exons. The record is from RefSeq and is a predicted model, not a curated record. Lineage: Eukaryota; Metazoa; Arthropoda; Insecta; Diptera; Culicidae.